GGCCAUGAAGAGCAAUCUUCCUCUAGAUCUGUUCUUAUCCCUUUCACCUGAUUAACUUGUUUUGGGAACACUUCAACCUCCGUUUCUUCCCUUACAUUUAUAUCUGUAUUACUUUAUACAGUAUGGACGCAUUUUAAUCCCAGAAUAGAUAAGGUCUCCAGUCUACUAUGGAUGAGGAGAGAGAGGAGAGGGGUCCUACCUCUAAGACCACUCUGUCUGGGGAACAUGGCCGCCGGAGCAAAGCUAAGAGCCCAGAGCAGCAGCAGAGAGCAGACUCCCCUACACCCAGCAGUGUCUCCAUGAAGAGUGAC
Long non-coding RNA from Gadus chalcogrammus (walleye pollock), 311 nucleotides. RefSeq lists it as uncharacterized. The transcript has 3 exons. Lineage: Eukaryota; Metazoa; Chordata; Actinopteri; Gadiformes; Gadidae. The record is from RefSeq and is a predicted model, not a curated record.